UAGUCCACGCCGUAAACGAUGUCUACUCGGAGUUUGGUGUCUUGAACACUGGGCUCUCAAGCUAACGCAUUAAGUAGACCGCCUGGGGAGUACGGCCGCAAGGUUAAAACUCAAAUGAAUUGACGGGGGCCCGCACAAGCGGUGGAGCAUGUGGUUUAAUUCGAUGCAACGCGAAGAACCUUACCUACUCUUGACAUCCACAGAAUUCGGUAGAGAUACCUUAGUGCCUUCGGGAACUGUGAGACAGGUGCUGCACGGCUGUCGUCAGCUCGUGUUGUGAAAUGUUGGGUUAAGUCCCGCAACGAGCGCAACCCUUAUCCUUAUUUGCCAGCACUUCGGGUGGGAACUUUAGGGAGACUGCCGGUGAUAAACCGGAGGAAGGUGGGGACGACGUCAAGUCAUCAUGGCCCUUACGAGUAGGGCUACACACGUGCUACAAUGGCGUAUACAGAGGGUUGCGAAGCCGCGAGGUGGAGCUAAUCUCACAAAGUACGUCGUAGUCCGGAUCGGAGUCUGCAACUCG
This 523-nucleotide ribosomal RNA is filed under the name uncultured bacterium. RNAcentral describes it as "bacterial SSU rRNA". It matches the Rfam family "Bacterial small subunit ribosomal RNA", at positions 791 to 1314 of the family's 1533-position model. The record is from RNAcentral.